AAUGAACGUUGGCGGCGUGCCUAAUACAUGCAAGUCAACUGAAAUACCGGUAGCAAUACUGGUAUGGAGGUGGCGCACGGGUGAGUAACACGUAGGUAAUCUGCCUUCAGGUCUGACAUAACCCAUCGAAAGGUGAGCUAAUAUCAGAUGAUGCAGCGGCUUGACAUCAAGACAGUUGUUAAAGCUUCGGCGCCUGAAGAUGAGCCNGCGUCUGAUUAGCUAGUUGGCGGGGUAACGGCCCACCAAGGCUGCGAUCAGUAGCUGGUCUGAGA
Molecule: ribosomal RNA, 272 nt
Filed under: uncultured bacterium
Lineage: Bacteria
Description: partial 16S ribosomal RNA
Rfam family: Bacterial small subunit ribosomal RNA
Source: RNAcentral